AAUAGAUACCCAGGUAGUCCACGCCGUAAACGAUGAGUGCUAAGUGUUAGAGGGUUUCCGCCCUUUAGUGCUGCAGCUAACGCAUUAAGCACUCCGCCUGGGGAGUACGGCCGCAAGGCUGAAACUCAAAGGAAUUGACGGGGGCCCGCACAAGCGGUGGAGCAUGUGGUUUAAUUCGAAGCAACGCGAAGAACCUUACCAGGUCUUGACAUCCUCUGACACUCCUAGAGAUAGGAAUUUCCCCUUCGGGGGACAGAGUGACAGGUGGUGCAUGGUUGUCGUCAGCUCGUGUCGUGAGAUGUUGGGUUAAGUCCCGCAACGAGCGCAACCCUUGAUCUUAGUUGCCAGCAUUCAGUUGGGCACUCUAAGGUGACUGCCGGUGACAAACCGGAGGAAGGUGGGGAUGACGUCAAAUCAUCAUGCCCCUUAUGACCUGGGCUACACACGUGCUACAAUGGAUGGUACAAAGGGCAGCGAAGCCGCGAGGUGAAGCCAAUCCCAAUAAAACCAUUCUCAGUUCGGAUUGC
RNAcentral lists this ribosomal RNA (527 nucleotides) under uncultured bacterium. RNAcentral describes it as "bacterial SSU rRNA". It matches the Rfam family "Bacterial small subunit ribosomal RNA", at positions 777 to 1301 of the family's 1533-position model. The record is from RNAcentral.